GAUGAACGCUGGCGGCGUGCCUAAUACAUGCAAGUCGAGCGAACAGACGAGGUGCUUGCUCCUCUGACGUUAGCGGCGGACGGGUGAGUAACACGUGGAUAACCUACCUAUAAGACUGGGAUAACUUCGGGAAACCGGAGCUAAUACCGGAUAAUAUAUUGAACCGCAUGGUUCAAUAGUGAAAGACGGUUUUGCUGUCACUUAUAGAUGGAUCCGCGCCGCAUUAGCUAGUUGGUAAGGUAACGGCUUACCAAGGCAACGAUGCGUAGCCGACCUGAGAGGGUGAUCGGCCACACUGGAACUGAGACACGGUCCAGACUCCUACGGGAGGCAGCAGUAGGGAAUCGUACGCAAUGGGCGAAAGCCUGACGGAGCAACGCCGCGUGAGUGAUGAAGGUCUUCGGAUCGUAAAACUCUGUUAUUAGGGAAGAACAAAUGUGUAAGUAACUAUGCACGACUUGACGGUACCUAAUCAGAAAGCCACGGCUAACUACGUG
Molecule: ribosomal RNA, 497 nt
Filed under: uncultured bacterium
Lineage: Bacteria
Description: partial 16S ribosomal RNA
Rfam family: Bacterial small subunit ribosomal RNA
Source: RNAcentral